RNAcentral lists this long non-coding RNA (513 nucleotides) under Homo sapiens (human). RNAcentral describes it as "HSALNT0309218". The record is from RNAcentral. Lineage: Eukaryota; Metazoa; Chordata; Mammalia; Primates; Hominidae.
UAACUUCUACUUCCCGGUACUGCCUGCCACAAUUUUAUCCCUUAGAACCCAGAACAGCUGGGAGCAGAUAAAAUCUUCUUGGGUUAUGAGUUCCCAGAUGAUGCUGCUGGCCUGCGGACUGUACUUUGUGAACUUAUGCUGGAGCAGAUGGAUCAGAAACCCCGGCCAGAGGAUGCUCAGGACCCAUCAAGCCCCCGCGAGGAAGGACUCAGACCCCCAACCCCACCAAAUUAAAGCAGGCAAUGGAGAAUUAUACUGAAGGGAUUCUUCGGCUGGGCAAAAACAUGAUUAGAUCUGCAUUCUAAAGACUGCUCGCAGAGUAGAGGAUGGAUUGGAGCAGGGAGUCUACUGCAAUAGUACAGAUGCGAUAGUGAAGACUUCAUUUAAAGCAGCACCAGCAAGAAUGAGGAAGAAGGGAUUAAUAUGAAAAACGUUAAAGAGGUGGAAUGUAUAAGGCUCGAUGGCCGAAUGAUGGGAGGUAGGAAUAGGGAGUGUGUAGAAGGAGUCUAAGAU